Molecule: transfer RNA, 71 nt
Filed under: Nebrioporus millingeni
Lineage: Eukaryota; Metazoa; Arthropoda; Insecta; Coleoptera; Dytiscidae
Description: tRNA-Val
Source: RNAcentral
CAAGUUAAAGCUUAAUAAGUUAAGCAGUUUAUUUACAUUAAAAGGAAGUUGUGCAAUUCAAUAUAAUUUGA